UGGGGAAUCUUGCACAAUGGGGGAAACCCUGAUGCAGCGACGCCGCGUGAACGAUGAAGCCCUUCGGGGUGUAAAGUUCUUUCGACAGGAACGAUAAUGACGGUACCUGGAGAAGAAGCUGCGGCUAACUACGUGCCAGCAGCCGCGGUAAUACGUAGGCAGCGAGCGUUGUUCGGAGUUACUGGGCGUAAAGAGUGCGUAGGCGGCGAGCCAAGUUUGGUGUGAAAUCUCCCGGCUUAACCGGGAGGGUGCGCCGAAAACUGGUUGGCUGGAGUAUGGGAGAGGAAAGCUGAAUUCCUGGUGUAGCGGUGAAAUGCGUAGAUAUCAGGAGGAACACCUGCGGUGUAGACAGCUUUCUGGACCAAAACUGACGCUGAGGCACGAAAGCGUGGGGAGCAAACA
This 402-nucleotide ribosomal RNA is filed under the name uncultured bacterium. RNAcentral's name for it is "bacterial SSU rRNA". It matches the Rfam family "Bacterial small subunit ribosomal RNA", at positions 355 to 774 of the family's 1533-position model. The record is from RNAcentral.